UACGUAGGGUGCAAGCGUUGUCCGGAAUUAUUGGGCGUAAAGAGCUCGUAGGCGGUCUGUCGCGUCUGCUGUGAAAACUCAGGGCUUAACCCUGAGCUUGCAGUGGGUACGGGCAGACUAGAGGUAGGUAGGGGAGAAUGGAAUUCCUGGUGUAGCGGUGAAAUGCGCAGAUAUCAGGAGGAACACCGGUGGCGAAGGCGGUUCUCUGGGCCUUACCUGACACUGAGGAGCGAAAGCGUGGGGAGCGAACAGG
RNAcentral lists this ribosomal RNA (253 nucleotides) under uncultured bacterium. RNAcentral's name for it is "partial 16S ribosomal RNA". It matches the Rfam family "Bacterial small subunit ribosomal RNA", at positions 524 to 776 of the family's 1533-position model. The record is from RNAcentral.